Long non-coding RNA from Python bivittatus (Burmese python), 1372 nucleotides. RefSeq lists it as uncharacterized. The record is from RefSeq and is a predicted model, not a curated record. Lineage: Eukaryota; Metazoa; Chordata; Lepidosauria; Squamata; Pythonidae.
UGAUUUUAGCAGAAUUGAAUUCCCAGGCAUACAGGCCUUCAUGGUCCAUUCAAGCUCAUCCAAAUGCUUUGAGUUUACUUGAAAGUAAAUACAGUUGAAAAAUGAAUGGGACACAUUACCUCUGAGAAGAAGAACUCAAGCCAUAUCCAUUCACCCAAGCUGAGUGUCUAAAGGGGAUGAUGAUGGAAGUUGUAGCCUGAUGCUUCUGGAAGACACUGGAAUUGGGAAGGAUGGACGUUUUAGGCAAGCCCAACAUCAAGGGAAGAUUUCCCAUCUGUGAAUGAACCAUUACAAAAUUAGUACCUUAAGGACAAAUUCACCUUGUCUUCCGCUUCUAAUGUUUUGUCUGUGCUGGUUAAUGAGCUCAACGUAGUACAGUAAAUUUGCUGAGGAAUCAAAAAGUAUUUAAAAAAGGGUUGUGGUGCUGCCUUAAUGAAAAAGAAUCGCGUGGCAUAAAUUAAGUUGGAAGAGAAUAAGCGCUUUGGGUAGGAUUCUGAUGGAUUUUAUGACGCCUUUCAGUUCCGCUUUGCAGACCUAAUCGAGAAAUCUGUGCCGCGUCAAUUUAACAAAUCCUUGAGAGCGAAGGCAGGUUGGUCAAAAAGGAAUGUCAAAUGAAUCUCCAGAAAUUCUGGCUUCCAAGAUCAAAUCACCACGGAUCCUAAAUCUACCACUCCUUUAUUCUACGACAUCCCUGACUUAACUGACCCAGGAAAAGAUGCCACCACAACAAAUUUCUCUUUGCAUCUCUUCACCCUCCAGCCCUGGCAAAUGUCUAUGAAAAACAGAUAAGAGGGUUUCUCUUGCACCAGAGGGCACAUCCUGCACAAAUGCCUUUGGCAUUAAUGAAAUCCAGAAGAGGUGGUUUUUAUGUUUUGUAUUCCAGCUCCACUUUCUUUUGAUAGCAGCUGGUGACAGAAAUGCUUCUGGCCCAGUUUUCUGGGGGCAUUUCCAAUAUAUUUCUUAGCUGUUGUAGAUUAUAUGCCUAUCUGAUGGUGGUUUCUCUGAAAAUUGCCUCAAAGACCAAUAGAGAACCCAAGAUGUUUGAGAAGCACCAUCUUACUGACCCUUUCCAUUUACUAUCCCAGAAAACCUCUGAGCUUUUAGCAAAACUGCAGAUAAUUGAGAGUAACAGAGAAAUAAUUUUACUCUAAUGUAUAGAACUAAUUACAGAAUAAUAGAUGAUACUCCAUGUUUAAAUGAGUCUUCGCAUGAAUCAGUGGUAUAAAAUUAAAAUGUGUCCAAACUCUGGAAAAAUUUGCCCACACUGCAACACUAAAUGGGAUAGUAUUGGAUUUCUGAGGAGCCGUCUUGCCCUGGUUAUAUCAGCCUGCCCUGGUCAAGGAAUUUCAACUGGUAGGAUCUAGGAAGAGGG